AACGGCGGCCGUAACUAUCACGGUCCUAAGGUAGCGAAAUUCCUUGUCGGGUAAGUUCCGACCUGCACGAAUGGCGUAACGAUCUCCACACUGUCUCGGCCAGAGACUCGGUGAAAUUGCAGUCGCGGUGAAAAUUCCGUGUACCCGCAGAAAGACGGAAAGACCCUGUGCACCUUUACUAUAGCUUGACAUUGGAUUUUGGGCCUGCAUGUGUAGGAUAGGUGGGAGGCUGUGAACCCUGUACGCCAGUAUGGGGGGAGCCAUCCUUGAAAUACCACCCUUGCAUGUUUAAGAUCCUAACUUCUUCCGGUUAUCCCGGAGAAAGACAGUGUCUGGCGGGUAGUUUGACUGGGGCGGUCGCCUCCUAAAGUGUAACGGAGGCAUGCAAAGGUUCCCUCAGCCUGAUCGGAAACCAGGCGCUGAGUGCAAACGCAUAAGGGAGCUUGACUGUAAGAGAGACAUCUCGAACAGGAACGAAAGUUGGCGUUAGUGAUCCGGUGGUCCCGAAUGGAAGGGCCAUCGCUCAUUGGAUAAAAGGUACGCCGGGGAUAACAGGCUGAUCGCAUCCAAGAGUUCACAUCGACGAUGCGGUUUGGCACCUCGAUGUCGGCUCAUCACAUCCUGGGGCUGAAGCAGGUCCCAAGGGUACGGCUGUUCGCCGUUUAAAGUGGUACGCGAGCUGGGUUUAAAACGUCGUGAGACAGUUUGGUCCCUAUCUUCUGUGGGCGAAGGAGAAUUGAGAGGGCCUGUCCCUAGUACGAGAGGACCGGGAUGGACGCACCCCUGGUGAUCCUGUUGUCGCGCCAGCGGCAUAGCAGGGUAGCUAUGUGCGGAAGGGAUAACCGCUGAAAGCAUCUAAGCGGGAAGCCUGCCUCAAGAUAAGUUCUCCCCUCGAAAGAGCUGAAGGGCCCGGGUAGACUACCCGGUCGAUAGGCUGGAGGUGUAAGCGCGGCGACGUGCUCAGCUGACCAGUACUAAUAGCCCGAGCGGCUUAUUUUU
Molecule: ribosomal RNA, 999 nt
Filed under: human gut metagenome
Description: bacterial LSU rRNA
Rfam family: Bacterial large subunit ribosomal RNA
Source: RNAcentral